AAUGUGUUUUUCACACUUUGGUGAUUACUUUUGAGAUUUUAAAGCUGUUUUAUCUCCCAUCUUAAAUGUUGAGUGUGUCAUUGUGUGACAGUACUUUGUGAACUGCAAACUGCUAUACAAACGUGCAAGGUUAUCGUUACUCUGUUUAUUAUUUCCGUCCCUUUAUUCUGCCUCUGUACUACAGUACCUUCAUUCAUCCAGCAGAAAGGAUUUAGGAAGUCAAUGUGUUCAGCAUAUGACUCAGCAGAAUGCUUUCUGGAAGGACCCUUAUGAAACAAGGCUGUUUUCACUGGACAGCAUACUCCUCUGUACAAGAUUUGUGGUGGAUUACAUAAUAUCUGAGUAAUUUAAUGGACUGCAUAAAGGAGAAAUAUAACAGGCUUUUGACUAUUUAUGCAUAUAUAUAUAUAUAUAUAUAUACACAUAAAUAUAUAUGUUAAAAAACAAGUAAAAGAAAAGCAAAGCCAUGCUGAACUGCAAUCAGCGUGGUAAUCAUUGCCAUCUUCAAUUGAGGGAACAAUUUUGACUCUGAUCUAACCUGUUUUCCAAACACUGUGUUCUAUAUCCCAUCUUUAGCUUGGCAUUUACUGCUGGGAUUACCGUAGGCAACCAG
Symphalangus syndactylus (siamang) is the source of this 613-nucleotide long non-coding RNA. RefSeq lists it as uncharacterized. NCBI's taxonomy places the organism in Eukaryota, Metazoa, Chordata, Mammalia, Primates, Hylobatidae. The record is from RefSeq and is a predicted model, not a curated record.